This 258-nucleotide ribosomal RNA is filed under the name uncultured bacterium. RNAcentral describes it as "partial 16S ribosomal RNA". It matches the Rfam family "Bacterial small subunit ribosomal RNA", at positions 29 to 289 of the family's 1533-position model. The record is from RNAcentral.
GUGAACGCUGGCGGCAGGCCUAACACAUGCAAGUCGAGCGGCAGCGCGGGGGCAACCCUGGCGGCGAGCGGCGGACGGGUGAGGAAUUCGUCGGAAUCCGCCUUUUUGUGGGGGAUAACGUAGGGAAACUUACGCUAAUACCGCAUACGACCUACGGGUGAAAGUGGGGGACCUUCGGGCCUCACGCAGAAAGAUGAGCCGACGACCGAUUAGCUAGUUGGUAGGGUAAAGGCCUACCAAGGCGACGAUCGGUAGCUG